CCACUCUCACUCUCUCAAAAUAAAUAAACUUUUUAAAAAAUUUUAGAAAAAGAAAAAGGUACCGUAAUGUACUAGACUUUCCACUUCCUCCUUCUAAGGACAGAGGAGCGAACAGCCACUGAGGAAAUGACUCAGACUAUGUUAGUAGCUUCAUGGGGUAGAUACAGCACAGCCAGUAAAUGGAGCUGCAUCUUUGUCUUUUCCUUUAUAGUUUCGCCAUUUAAAGGUGUCUUCUCUCCCUCCACUACUUGUUAAAAGAACUAAGUCCAAAAUAUGUCAACAAAGUAAAUCAGGUACCUAGCCUUGAUCAACAGCAAGCUUACAUAUUAUUCCCCAAACAUUAACUGCCCCACCCUCAAAAUGGGCCCUAGGUAACUUCCUUCUGUGACACUACCUAUCUUCCUGUGAUGCAGGCCAAGUUAAGUACUGCUCCCACUCCAUCUCCCUUAACAUCUUUGUAACAUUUUUCUUCCUUUCCCUUCUUCCCUUCCUUCCUUUCGUUCUUUUUUUCCUCAUCUAUGAAGCACCUAUUUAGCUAUAUUUAAGGUUACGUAGCUAAUUCUAGGUUGAGUAAUUCGUCAUUCCUGCCUUCAACUCCAUUAUAAUCAAGAAGAUCGAGAUAUGAGUAACUGGAGUUCAGUCUCUCCUUUCUUAGGUCUCCAUCAAUAUAUCAGUGUCUUGAAGGAAUUAAUGACUUGGGAAAAUGAGAGAAGGAACCUCAGUUGAGGGUUGACACAGCAGAAAUCCCCACUACCUUUUUCAGUGUGAUUCAUGACAUGCUCCUAGAACACGAUCAUAUGUAAGAAAUUCAGGAAAGAGCAAAUGAAACUGGAGCUCAUACAGAUGUGCCCUGCUGUGAAAUAAAGAUGACUCACUAAGCCCCACCCUGAUUUGAAAGAAAUCUGCCUAGGCCAACUCUUGGGGUAUACUCAGUAACCAGCCAGCUGAUGGGUGAUUUGGCUUUCUGAUUGCUGAUAUUGAGAAAAGGGUGCUCCAGUUGAGGGAGGAGCAUUCCAGCUAUUGAAGGACUAAUACCAACUGUUAAUGAAUACGCUCGGAAGAUUAUCUAACACCUGAAAUUUGUACUUGGAGAUUGGCUUCACGCAGCAGGGAUGAAUGGGGACACUAAGGAAGACUGCAGAGCAGCAGUGGCUGCAGUUUCUAAACUGCCAUUUGGGACAAAGUGGCAAAGGAGAAAACUUUUGCAAUGCUGUGGUUGAGAGUGAAUAUUUAGAACUCAAGGCUGAGGGCGACCUUGGUGGUUGUGUGUGGUUUCUGCACUGUGGGGACAGAUGCCUCAUUUAUGGAUGCAGACUUCGUCCAGCUGGGAAAGGUCUCCCAGGACAGGGAAGUUGAGGAAAUGCUGCAGUCUCCAUUCCUCAUUGGUGAUUUCAAAGUGUACAACCCUGCUCAAUGCUCUGAGAAGUCCUGCAGGAAAGGAACCUGCUUUAGGGUUUUUGGCUCUGUGUUUCCCAAAGUUAUUUGACCUCAGAAUUCUUUUUCCCUCUUCAUAACCCUCAUUUAUACUCUGUGAAAGCCACGUUUCCAACAACCCACUUGGAAAAUGCUAUCCCAAUGUCCAGGGGAACUGGUUCUCACCCUUAAUGCCUCACGGUGAGCAGUGAUGGGGAUAUUCUGGCAGGACACAUGAUGUGGAAUCCUGCUGUGAUAAACCAGGAAAUAAAAUUGUGUAUUGUGCCUGUUGGGCCCCUUCCCAUA
Herpailurus yagouaroundi (jaguarundi) is the source of this 1719-nucleotide long non-coding RNA. RefSeq lists it as uncharacterized. The transcript is spliced from 3 exons. The record is from RefSeq and is a predicted model, not a curated record. Lineage: Eukaryota; Metazoa; Chordata; Mammalia; Carnivora; Felidae.